Molecule: long non-coding RNA, 1504 nt
Filed under: Olea europaea subsp. europaea
Lineage: Eukaryota; Viridiplantae; Streptophyta; Magnoliopsida; Lamiales; Oleaceae
Source: RNAcentral
UGGUGGGUCACGUGACCGAUAGCAUUUCUAAAAUUGAUUUUUACCUACUCCAAUCUGCACUAGGCAGAAUUGAUUUUAUUGAAGCAAAAGAAGAACCCUUUCUUCCGUUGUCGGUUCCUAUUCUGUUGCUAACUACCCUCGUUGAAGAAGAACCCGUUGCAAACCAUUGAAGAACCUAUUGAAGAGAACUCGUGUUCACUGUUCCGCUGAUCUCUCUCUCCCUCUCUGUGCGUGUUGUAAGCAGUUGGUUGCCAUUGGAUUUUUAAGUAACACUAACAGAAACUCAUUGCUAUGUUUUGAUUAGUUAAAUUUAUUUAUUCGCAUUUGGGUUUCUUCUUAUUAGUUGUAUGCCCACGACAUAUUUGUUAAAAUGCCUUAUUAGGUAUUUAAACCUUUAAUUAGAGUGUUUAGCUAAAGCUUUUGAUUUUAAUCGUUCUUAAUUCCAAUUCCAAAGCCCCAAUUCAUUGCAUUCGAACAACAUCUGCAAUCUGUUGGAUAAUUUUGCUUUGCUUAAUUGCUUUUAUAUUGUAUCUCAUUAUCUGAAAUUUGAAAAUAUAUUUAUGAUUUGUGAUUUUUGAUUUGUUAUGGAUCAUCAACGUGAUUUGUUGAAUUAUGAUUCGUGAUUCGUGAGAUUUUAUUUGGGAACUUCAUAAAAAAUUCAAAAUAGGGGCAGCAAUAUUUGAUAGGUUUUCUGGCAUUUAUUGUCAUUUGAAGAAAAAUCUUGGGUUAUGAAAGCUUCUAAUAUGUAUCAGAAAUGGUAAUUGGAUAAUUGAAGUCUUGCUUUUUUAUUGUUUUAUUGAGUGUUAGGAGAUAAAUGUGGAGCUUAAUAUUUAUGUACAGCAUAAUUUGGAAAGUAAUUUUGUAGGUUUUUCUUUGAAUAUGUGAGAAAGAUGAGAGCUUGGAAUAUGCACAAAUUGUUUUGAUUAUGGUGUGGGGGAGAGAUAAAUAUCUUCCAUGUUUUGAGGAGUUUUUAAACCAUUUUUAUGAGUUUUUCAAAUAUAUAAUAAGGUUUGAAUGAGUUUUAGCAAAUGAUAGUAUUAUAUUAUUUAAUACUAUUUUUAAUGAUAUGUGUUGGGCAGUGGAUCCUCAAACUUCUGCAUUUUGCUCUUGGAAUCCAACUUGUUGUAGUCGGCACCAACACUAAGUAUGUUUCUACACAAGAGGCUCCAGUUACUCUUGAGUUUUCUGUUGAAAUUGUCAUAGUUGAGGGAAUCUUCCUUUUUUUUUUUUUUUGGUCAUCUCUACUUAAAAAGGUUGAACCCCAACCUUAGGGGCCCCACCUUGCCCUGAGCCAUCGUGGAGGAGGUAAAUCGCAGGAUGUGCCUCCCAGGAGCCAGGAUGGAGAGCAUAUGGAUAGGCCAAGGCUGUUAACCCAUAUGGUAACUCCCGCUUACAACAAAGUCAAUUCCACAUUGCGAUAUGUAGCUAAAAAUUGACUCAUAUUUAUCUUAUAAAUUUGGCAUUUUGCAAAUUUGAUUGUACUCUACUAACUUAAAAUGUUUAC